UACAUUAAAAAAACUGUAAAAUCAUUUUAUGGUUGCUUAGCAAAUAACUUUUUAAUAUGUAGCUAUCUAGCGCUAGGUAACCCUUAACAUGAUUUCACAGUAUUUUUAAUGUAGCUAUCCUAACCAAAUCAACCAUCCACAAUGUUUUCAAGUAUUUAUAAUGUAGCUAACAUAACCUAAUUGACCAUUAGUUUUCAUGAGUUGCAUAUUUAUUUACAAUAAACAAAAAAACCCGAAGAUGCACGAUCGGGCGUUUGCCUCUCGUCUGUUGAAAGAAGGCUUGCCAACGUGAGUAUUCGGGUAUGUCCAGAAGGAUGAGUGAAUCGUAGGCUUCCCGCGUUCCACCAGUGUUGCUUGUUUACGAGUAUGAUUUUUUUUUUUUUUUUUCGCGACGUAGUUGAACGACUACAUCACGUAAAAAGAAAAUUACUUUGUAGCUAACUUUCUGGGAACCUUGCCCAAUGCUGAUAAAUGCUUAUCGGACAGGAAGUGAUUCAAGCAGAAAACUUCUUCAGAACACAACAGGACUUUGACGCCAAACAUUAGUGCUCCUCGAAUCCGCACAGACCGCUAUGGCGCAUCGCCGCCUCGCCCCGAGCGUGUGCGACGUGAACGCACCUGGGUGCAGGGUGGUGCAACGCCUCGAACGUAAGCUGCCCUGCCUAAUCGACUGUCGCCCGCGCAAAAGUCGACCAAGGGGGUACUGUUAGGUGACCUGAUUACCUGGACUUUGAAAUUAACAUUCAGCACUCUAAAAAACAAUAUUAAUUAAGUAAUGACUGUGCUUAAAUAUUAAUUGUAAUUCUGUACUUUAGCGCGAUCAGGCGGCGUGCAUGGCCCGGGAUUACUUUUGCACACGACACGUUUUCGCGGGAGCGAGGCUGGGGAGUCGUGCGGACGUCACAGCCAUCGCCAGUUAAUCACCGCCCUCCAAGGAGACGAGACGUGAGUCGCCCGCGGAGCCUCUCGACCUCCGCCCUUGCCAUCUCUACCGGAAUUGCGUGAGUUUUCAGCACAUCAGAAACGUGUCCUGUAGAGCGCGGCUCCCAGUAAGCGGGUCAUGCACGACGCAGCGCAUGUAUAGCGUGCCUGACAAUAAACCACUUUGAAUCGA
Bacillus rossius redtenbacheri is the source of this 1114-nucleotide long non-coding RNA. RefSeq lists it as uncharacterized. The transcript has 3 exons. Lineage: Eukaryota; Metazoa; Arthropoda; Insecta; Phasmatodea; Bacillidae. The record is from RefSeq and is a predicted model, not a curated record.